Long non-coding RNA from Stegodyphus dumicola, 3480 nucleotides. The record is from RefSeq and is a predicted model, not a curated record. Lineage: Eukaryota; Metazoa; Arthropoda; Arachnida; Araneae; Eresidae.
CCAAGCCAUUACAGUUUUUCCCUGUUUUUCAUUGUAUAUAUAUUUUCUGUGCUUUUAUUUGUUGGUGCUUUAAGUUUUAUAUCACGCGAAAAAAAAUUACAAUCUAUGAGACGAAUAAAUAUGAUUUUUGUGAAAAAGUACUCUCUCGAUUUUUAUCAAAACCAAGUAUGUGAUAAAUAUUUUAAUACUAUCGCGAAUGUUAUCCCACCUCUAAAACUGUAACUGUAACCUGGUAGAGAACUUUUAAGUUUUGAUUUGAACGUAGCGCGUAGAAUUUUCGCUGUACAUACUGUAUUGUGUAAAAAUGGAAAAUGUGUUUGAAACUUUAAUUGUUUUAUUAAAUGUUUUCAAAAUAUUAAGUCUCUCCUGUGAAAAAUCUAGAUGAACCCUGGAUUUUACUCAUUUUCAAGAUAAUAUUCACCAUCAAAGAAUCCGGACAUCGAAAACGGAAGUAAGACUCAACAAAACUGAAAGCUCAAGUUUUUUCUGACGAAACUGGAUGAUCUGUUACUUUAGUUCCCCGUACAGGUGGCUCUUCAGUUAUGUCUAAAGUUCGAACAGAGGAAUAGCACAGUUCGGAAAGCAGCUGGGAUAUCAACUCUGUGAUGUGAUGGCCGGCAUUCAUAAAAAUGAUCGUCACACGUGGCUCGACAUUCUGGACAGAAUGGAAGACGGUUCAGCCGUAAUCUCUGUCACAUGAUAGAUACAGGUAGGUAUAAGUCCCAUCGCAAUAACAGCUCAUCUCCGUCCUAAUUUUGAGGGAGAACAUCCCACAAGGCGGUCCAAAGGUCUCCCACCCCUCUUGUCCUAUUAUGAAGCAAUCGAGAGGGCUUUCGGUUCGCCGUGUAUUUCGAGAGCUGACUUCCUCACAAAUACUGAACGCUUACCAACAUUCAUGUUUUCUCUGAGAUUGGAACCCCGGUUCAUCGGUACAGCGUCACUAAACAUUAUAUGGUCCAAGUGACUCAUGUCACAUGAUGUGCGAAUAUUUUCUUUCAAUAUGGUCAAUAACCUCGACCAACCUCUGCGUAUCUGUGUCCUCAAGGAAAAAAUAUAAUCAUUCUGGCAAUAAGAUUUUUCAUUGUUUAAAGAAAAAUCCCAUGUCGUCCAGUGCAUUUCUGUGAAAACCGGAUAAUUUAUACUUUCGAAUUAUUGAAUUUUAUUCUUUUGUUACUUUUGGAUCAGCUUGGAUAUGCAUCUGUUUCAGUAAUAUCAUUUCUACUGUUCUCAUUUAAUUAACAGAAUAAGCAAAGGGGUACCUGGAAAAAAAAAGAAAAAUAGCAGUUUUACUCUAGUAAUGUAAACCAGAGUUCUGCAUAUUAUGAAUAAAUCUUUGAUGCCUGCCAUCUUCAGCUAAAAUAAAUGCGAAUUAAUGACCCAUACAAACUCGGCAACUGACGCAUUAAAACAUUCCGUAAACUCAUAAAAAGGCAGAAAGGCGUUAGAAAGGUAAAAAAAAAAAAAAAAAAAAUACGCCAUCUAUAGCUUUUCAGUACAGGGCAGGUGAAAGAUUUAUGCAUUGAAAGCACAUGCAAGAGCAGAAGCAAUUAACUAAACCUGCGCUUUUCAACUUAUCUCACUUGAUUUCUCCACGAGCCAUAAAAAAUAACAGGAAAGUUUCUUCGGUGAAUAAAUUAUGACUUUUUCACAUCACGUGAUACAAUUUACAGCAUUUCAUUAAGUCAGCAAAGUUCUUGCAAAAUGAUGGCAGAAACAAAAUACACAACUGAUAAAAAAAAUUGACGGUAGCUUCAAAAUUUAAGAUUUCUGUCAGACCCCUCAAAAACUUUGCAUUUAGCGUUUAAAACUUAAUUACAUUUACAAAUUUUUAAAAUAUUAAAAUCGUAAAAUUUUAAAACACUGCCUCCGCAUGCUGAUUUCAGUUCAAGAUCUAAAAUGAUCUAAAGCUCAAUAGCUAUGUUUAGAAUAUUAGUUUCAUAAUUAAAAUCCCAGAAAUACAAAAUUUGAAUAAAAAAUCUUAUUUAAAGUAAGCUGUUGAAAAAAAGCAAUGCUAAAUGGGGGUGGAGAGAGAUGGAUACUAUUAUGAUAUUUCAUGAUAAAAACUACUGCCGCAUGGAGACUUUUGAGCUUACUAAGACAAGAAAUUCCAAAGAGUAAGCAUCUUUUCAAUAUGUAUUUAAAAAAUUAUGUUCCAUAAAUCGAAAUAAUCGCAGACAUUAUCAAAAACCACAUAUAUUAGUUUUUUUUAUAAUUAUACACAAACUUAUCAGCUAUCAUAUAAAAAUGAACAUUAGAAAUAUGCAUUAAUUAAAUUCUGAAUAAUGUUUCACUUUCUAAGAAUCAUUUUAAAAUUACAUUCAAAUAUGGAGAAACUUUUAGACCAAUUUUUACAGAAAUUCGGUCAUAGAAUUAUGAAUUUUGUACAUUAAACAAGCAGUCACAAUGCAAUUCUUCCAUGAGAUAUUUCUAAGCCCCCAAAAUUAAGAGUUACCUUGGAGAGAUGAAAAUUUUGCAAUGUAGCCAAAAUCCAAAACUAAGUAUUUUGUGCAGCUAGGUUGAAAUUAAAGGAGAAUAACAGUUUUCCUUUAACUAACAAGAAAUAUUUGAUUUACGUCUUUCAUCUAAAUUUAUCGGAGUGGGACUUUCAAAUUUUCACAAAUUUUCUUCCAUUGUGACAUAAUGAUUUGAAGGAAAAUUAUUUCCGUACUAAAAUUUUCAGCUUAGUUUGUAAUUGUAAAUAACUGAAAGCUCAAACAAAAUACUAUAUAUAAGCCAAAAAUAAAAUAUGAAAGUUCAAACAAAUAAAAAUAAAAAAAAAUCCCAUAACUUACACAACAUUUAUUCAGGAAUUUAAACGAGAAUUCUUAGAAAGCCCCCCCUAGCGAAUAUGAAUUCCCUUUAUACCCAAAAAUGGACCGCACUCAAUAGCAAGACUGUUUAGGACUAUAAAUAAUAAUAGGUAAAAAAAUAUGUCACACGGUAAAUAACAAUUAUAUAUCACUGCGUAAUGUAAUACUAAUAAUAUGAUACCAAUAAUAAUAAUAUAAUACUAAUAUGUAAUUUAACACUAUAAGUAAUACUCCAAAUACAGUACAACUAUAAUGUUGUAAAUUGUUAAAACGAUAAAUUAUAAUACUGUUACAGAACCGAUGACAGCUUAAUGAAAUUUAUUUUUUCAGAAAUACAGUUUUGGAACUUUUCACACAAAUAUUUUCGUAAAGCCCUUCUCAAUAUAACAAAGCACAAUAAGUAGUUACCACUUCAAGCUAUUAAGAACAUUGAACACAUAGUUUCCCCUAUCCAUCAAGAAAUUUUCAGUACCUUCUAUUUCUCGAAAUUGCUGGAAGGCAUAUACAGUUACAUUGGAAUCGGACUAAAAUGUCAUCAAGCUCGUCAGCAUUUGGGGAUUUCUCGCCAAAACCAUUGCCAGUUUGGCGCAUUGGCGAGACGGUUAUUUACCUCGACGUUAAAUGACUUAACCCAGGCGAUGCUAAGCAUUCUGAUGACUUUAAUAUAUUA